AGUGAACGCUGGCGGUAGGCCUAACACAUGCAAGUCGAACGGCAGCACAGUAAGAGCUUGCUCUUACGGGUGGCGAGUGGCGGACGGGUGAGGAAUACAUCGGAAUCUACUUUUUCGUGGGGGAUAAUGUAGGGAAACUUACGCUAGUACCGCAUACGACCUACGGGUGAAAGCAGGGGAUCUUCGGACCUUGCGCGAUUGAAUGAGCCGAUGUCGGAUUAGCUAGUUGGCGGGGUAAAGGCCCACCAAGGCGACGAUCCGUAGCUGGUCUGAGAGGAUGAUCAGCCACACUGGAACUGAGACACGGUCCAGACUCCUACGGGAGGCAGCAGUGGGGAAUAUUGGACAAUGGGCGCAAGCCUGAUCCAGCCAUACCGCGUGGGUGAAGAAGGCCUUCGGGUUGUAAAGCCCUUUUGUUGGGAAAGAAAAGCAGCAGGUUAAUACCCCGCUGUUCUGACGGUACCCAAAGAAUAAGCACCGGCUAACUUCGUG
Molecule: ribosomal RNA, 492 nt
Filed under: uncultured bacterium
Lineage: Bacteria
Description: partial 16S ribosomal RNA
Rfam family: Bacterial small subunit ribosomal RNA
Source: RNAcentral